UACGAAGGGUCCUAGCGUUGUUCGGAAUCAUUGGGCGUAAAGCGGGUGUAGGCGGCCAAUUAAGUCAGAAGUGAAAGCCCUGGGCUCAACCCGGGAAGUGCUUUUGAAACUGAUUGGCUUGAGUGUGGGAGAGGAUAGUAGAAUUCCUGGUGUAGUGGUGAAAUACGUAGAUAUCAGGAGGAAUACCGGUGGCGAAGGCGGCUAUCUGGCCCAACACUGACGCUCAGACCCGAAAGCGUGGGGAGCAAACAGG
RNAcentral lists this ribosomal RNA (253 nucleotides) under uncultured bacterium. RNAcentral describes it as "partial 16S ribosomal RNA". It matches the Rfam family "Bacterial small subunit ribosomal RNA", at positions 524 to 776 of the family's 1533-position model. The record is from RNAcentral.